Cavia porcellus (domestic guinea pig) is the source of this 991-nucleotide long non-coding RNA. RefSeq lists it as uncharacterized. The record is from RefSeq and is a predicted model, not a curated record. NCBI's taxonomy places the organism in Eukaryota, Metazoa, Chordata, Mammalia, Rodentia, Caviidae. The transcript is spliced from 5 exons.
CAGUCAAGCUGCUGUGGCCUGCACUGUCAGUCAAACUUCUGAGAUUUCACUGGGUUAGUGUGGUUAGUGUGUGCCACCACUGUAGGGACUUGAUUUCGGAUAAUCUAUUUGGUCUCAGCUAGGUCACAUGAACCAAGCCUAGCUCACUCCACCAAUCCCGUUCGGGAAGGGAGCAACUGACUGAAGUCGCUGCUGCCCCUUGUACUUGCCAGUCCUGCCCAGUCCCAGAAUGUUGUCCGCUGGAGCCCCCCCUAUUUAUGGAAUGGCUCCACUCCUGUCACUCACCGCAAGUUGAUGUAGGCACCCUGCCAACUCAGCUCUCCCCUUGGCUCGCCGGCCCCCAAAUUCAAUGUCAAAGCAGUGGGACCUCAGACAGCUCAGCAAGUCGCGGUGGGACCUUGGCAGGGCUGUUGCCUCUGUGGGAUUAUCCCACAAUAAUCCACUGACAUGAAGAUCCAGCAGUUUGCCAGUGUAAAGAUUAAACUCUGCCUUCUUAAAAAGAAAAAAAAAGCCGCCAUGAACUGCAGCCCAGCCAUGCCCAUCUGCCUUGGAGCCAACUGAGUGUGGACUGAAACCUCCAAAAACUUUCCAGGGAGCCGAAGGAUCUGUGCUGACAGGCUGAAGGUGAAGACUGCACUGGAGCCUGCAGAUGGACAUCCAAAGGCAGUGGUGAUGCCUGGAGUGAAGAAACAGAAUACUUUCUUCUGUCCUCCCUUUUCCUUCCAUCCAGGCCACAAGCCUACUGGUUGGUACUCCCACAAUUAGGAGGGAGUGUUACAGAUUGAAUGCUGUGUCUCACCAAAACUCCUCGGUUGAAACCCUGGGACUGGAGGAACAGUCAUAGUAGAGCACUUGCCUAGCAUGCUUGAGAUUCUUGUUCAAGUUCAAUCUCUAGAACUGCAAAUAGACAGGAGGGAAAGAAGGACAGAAAGAAAAAGAAGGGAAGAAAAAGGAAGGGAAAGAAAUAGGAGGAGGGGAAGGGAAGAGGGAG